UACCGGAAGGUGCGGCUGGAUCACCUCCUUUCUAAGGAGCACCACGAAAAACACUCCGCAUCCGGUGGGGUGUGAGCCGUGAGGGAGCCCGUGCCUGUAGUGGGUGUGGGUUGGGUGCGCGACAACAAAUGGGAAAAAUCGCUGGGCACACUAUUGGGCUUUGAGGCAACACCUGGUUUGUUUUGGGUGGUGUCGCUCCAUCUUGGUGGUGGGGUGUGGUGUUUGAGUUGUGGAUAGUGGUUGCGAGCAUCUAAGCAAAAGCUGUUGUUUGACGGUUUUUGUCGAGUGUUGUGUGUGUAAGUGUGUUAGGGCGCAUGGUGGAUGCCUUGGCG
This 332-nucleotide small RNA is filed under the name Mycobacterium celatum. RNAcentral's name for it is "bacterial LSU rRNA". The record is from RNAcentral. Lineage: Bacteria; Bacillati; Actinomycetota; Actinomycetes; Mycobacteriales; Mycobacteriaceae.